GAACAAGUCUCUGUUUGUUUCGUACCAUUCAGAUUUCCUCGUCUGUAAACAUUAAGUAUCUACAUUCACUAAAAGUAGUUCUGAAUGAAUGUUAUUUAAUGGUGCCAAUGAUGUUGGAGGAUACCUGUGCAUCUCAUGCUGUGGUUACAGCAUCAAUUGUGAUGAAUAUAGGAUACUGAGUCCCUCCUAGAAAUGACUUCAGGAACUUCACCCCCCAACUCCACAAUCUGGGAAUGGCAGACAGAUUCAGCACCAGGAGAACAUCACAUAAAGGACAAGUGUGUAUGUUUAAAAAUGGCAAGUUUCGGCCUGGCAUGGUGGCUCACGUCUAUAAUCCCAGCACUUUGGGAGGCUGAGUCUAAGUGUACAGUGCUUGUAAAGUCUGCAGUAGCAUACAGUAAUGUCCAAGGCUUUCACAUCCACUCACCACUCGCUCACUGACCCAGCCAGAGCAACUUCCAGUCCUGAAAGCUGCAUUCAUGACUCAAUCACCACAAUUGCAAUCAAAAGACGGCUUUAGUUGGAACCUGGAACGUGCUAAUCCUGUCAGGCAGCCUGUGAUUCUGGAAGUGAAGGAACAAAAAAAAAAAAAAAAAGGGAAAAUUUCACAUAAAAUUUCCAUAUGAGGAAGAAGAUGGAAACUUUUGUGUUGUGCGUUCAGUAAAACGGGCACUUUCUUAAGCAGGUGGCAAAGAAAGCCUGAGAAUCCGGCCUGACUUUUUCAUUUCAGAACCCUGCAUUUCCCACACAGAGGAGAUAGAGCACAGCCAUUGCAUGGUAGAUCCAGCUUGCUCUCACAGCCAUUGUGCAAAUAAACAUACAUGUGGCAAGGCAGUGCAGUUUUCAGUUGUUAAAAGUUCUGUCAUGCCACGAGAUGGAGCAAAGGAUAAACGCUGAUGUAAACAGGCAACAGGACUCUGACUCCACACCCCUGUCUGCACGGAGGAUGCUCAGUCCUUACACAACAAAAUGUGAGAUGCUUCCAGUCACCUCCUGGCCCUGACCCCUGAGCUCCGUGCUCACCCCACUGGAGGUCCUGGCAGUUCUCCGAGCAGGCUGUACCUGUCUGGGGUGAUCCUCUCCACUUAAUGUUAGACAUUAAGUUCCCUGUGAAAUCUGUUUUGACUCACUGAGGUUAUGAAUAUUUUAUCACAACUAUCAUCAUAUACUACCAAAUCUCCAAUUUUCUUAUCUCCAUUACUAGACUGUGAGCUCCCUGGAGGCUGGACCUGGGUUUGGCACCGAGUGGCACUCAUACAUACUUCUUGAAUAAGAGAAUGUAUGUACACAGUGGCAUGAAAUUGAUUUGAAUUUGUUGGUUUUCUUAAGUGCUAAAGUUGUAGACAGUUCAGUAAAAACUAUAAAGCGGUUACCCUGUAAACCAUGAGUACUAUUAAUUGGAACCUCCUUUCUUACAUAUCCACUUGUGUUUCUGUUAAUGUUUCCAAAAUAAAUAAAGAGCAGGCUAGAGGGAAACCUCCAGUCCUUAGAAACCACGGCACAAGAAUACAUCUGUAUUUGCACUCUG
Long non-coding RNA from Homo sapiens (human), 1528 nucleotides. Ensembl annotates it as mitotically associated long non coding RNA. Its record names the gene MANCR. NCBI's taxonomy places the organism in Eukaryota, Metazoa, Chordata, Mammalia, Primates, Hominidae. The record is from Ensembl.